GGGGGAUAUUGCACAAUGGAGGAAACUCUGAUGCAGCAACGCCGCGUGAGGGAAGACGGUUUUCGGAUUGUAAACCUCUGUCCUUGGUGACGAAAAAAAUGACGGUAGCCAAGGAGGAAGCUCCGGCUAACUACGUGCCAGCAGCCGCGGUAAUACGUAGGGAGCAAGCGUUGUCCGGAUUUACUGGGUGUAAAGGGUGCGUAGGCGGCACUGCAAGUCAGGCGUGAAAUAUAUGGGCUCAACCUCCAAACUGCAUUUGAAACUACUUUUCUUGAGUAACGGGAGGGGAAUCGGGAUUCCUUGUGUAGCGGGGAAAUGCGUAGAUAAAAGGAAGGACACCAGUGGCGAAGGCGGAUUACCGGACGACAACUUACGGUGAGGCGCGAAAGCGUGGGGAGCAAACA
Molecule: ribosomal RNA, 404 nt
Filed under: uncultured Oscillospiraceae bacterium
Lineage: Bacteria; Bacillati; Bacillota; Clostridia; Eubacteriales; Oscillospiraceae
Description: bacterial SSU rRNA
Rfam family: Bacterial small subunit ribosomal RNA
Source: RNAcentral